This 707-nucleotide ribosomal RNA is filed under the name Mycetocola sp. Its description in RNAcentral is "bacterial SSU rRNA". It matches the Rfam family "Bacterial small subunit ribosomal RNA", at positions 77 to 797 of the family's 1533-position model. Lineage: Bacteria; Bacillati; Actinomycetota; Actinomycetes; Micrococcales; Microbacteriaceae. The record is from RNAcentral.
AGCUUGCUCUGCUGAUCAGUGGCGAACGGGUGAGUAACACGUGAGUAACCUGCCCUUGACUCUGGGAUAAGCGCUGGAAACGGCGUCUAAUACCGGAUACGACCUUCCCCGGCAUCGGGUGGGGGUGGAAAGAUUUUUUGGUCAAGGAUGGACUCGCGGCCUAUCAGCUUGUUGGUGAGGUAAUGGCUCACCAAGGCGACGACGGGUAGCCGGCCUGAGAGGGUGACCGGCCACACUGGGACUGAGACACGGCCCAGACUCCUACGGGAGGCAGCAGUGGGGAAUAUUGCACAAUGGGCGAAAGCCUGAUGCAGCAACGCCGCGUGAGGGAUGACGGCCUUCGGGUUGUAAACCUCUUUUGGCAGGGAAGAAGCGAAAGUGACGGUACCUGCAGAAAAAGCACCGGCUAACUACGUGCCAGCAGCCGCGGUAAUACGUAGGGUGCGAGCGUUGUCCGGAAUUAUUGGGCGUAAAGAGCUCGUAGGCGGUUUGUCGCGUCUGCUGUGAAAUCCCGAGGCUCAACCUCGGGCCUGCAGUGGGUACGGGCAAACUAGAGUGCAGUAGGGGAGACUGGAAUUCCUGGUGUAGCGGUGGAAUGCGCAGAUAUCAGGAGGAACACCGAUGGCGAAGGCAGGUCUCUGGGCUGUAACUGACGCUGAGGAGCGAAAGCGUGGGGAGCGAACAGGAUUAGAUACCCUGGUAGUCCA